CACGGGGGGAGCAAGCGUUGUUCGGAAUCACUGGGCGUAAAGGGCGUGUAGGCGGUUCGGUAAGUGGAAUGUGAAAUCCCUCGGCUCACCCGAGGACCUGCAUCCCAAACUGCCGAGCUUGAGUACUUAAGAGGAUCGCGGAAUUCCCGGUGUAGAGGUGAAAUUCGUAGAUAUCGGGAGGAACACCAGUGGCGAAGGCGGCGAUCUGGGAAGAUACUGACGCUGAGGUGCGAAAGCGUGGGGAGCAAACAGG
RNAcentral lists this ribosomal RNA (253 nucleotides) under uncultured bacterium. Its description in RNAcentral is "partial 16S ribosomal RNA". It matches the Rfam family "Bacterial small subunit ribosomal RNA", at positions 524 to 776 of the family's 1533-position model. The record is from RNAcentral.